AGGACGAACGCUGGCGGCGUGCUUAACACAUGCAAGUCGAGCGGAAAGGCCCUUCGGGGUACUCGAGCGGCGAACGGGUGAGUAACACGUGAGCAACCUGCCCCUAGCUCUGGGAUAGCUCCGGGAAACCGGGAUUAAUACCAGAUACGACCACUUUAGACAUCUUUUGUGGUGGAAAGGAUUCCGGCUAGGGAUGGGCUCGCGGCCUAUCAGCUUGUUGGUGAGGUAACGGCCCACCAAGGCGACGACGGGUAGCCGGCCUGAGAGGGCGACCGGCCACACUGGGACUGAGACACGGCCCAGACUCCUACGGGAGGCAGCAGUGGGGAAUAUUGCGCAAUGGGCGAAAGCCUGACGCAGCGACGCCGCGUGGGGGAUGAAGGCCUUCGGGUUGUAAACUCCUUUCAGCAGGGACGAAGCGAAAGUGACGGUACCUGCAGAAGAAGCGCCGGCUAACUACGCGCCAGCAGCCGC
RNAcentral lists this ribosomal RNA (474 nucleotides) under uncultured bacterium. RNAcentral's name for it is "SSU rRNA". It matches the Rfam family "Bacterial small subunit ribosomal RNA", at positions 26 to 518 of the family's 1533-position model. The record is from RNAcentral.